UACGUAGGGGGCAAGCGUUGUCCGGAAUCAUUGGGCGUAAAGCGCGUGUAGGCGGUCCGGUAAGUCGGUUGUGAAAGUCCAGGGCUCAACCCUGGGAUGCCGACCGAUACUGUCGGACUAGAGUUCGGAAGAGGCGAGUGGAAUUCCCGGUGUAGCGGUGAAAUGCGCAGAUAUCGGGAGGAACACCAAUGGCGAAGGCAGCUCGCUGGGACGUUACUGACGCUGAGGCGCGAAAGCCAGGGGGGCAAACGGG
This 253-nucleotide ribosomal RNA is filed under the name uncultured bacterium. RNAcentral describes it as "partial 16S ribosomal RNA". It matches the Rfam family "Bacterial small subunit ribosomal RNA", at positions 524 to 776 of the family's 1533-position model. The record is from RNAcentral.